Long non-coding RNA from Dendronephthya gigantea, 179 nucleotides. RefSeq lists it as uncharacterized. The transcript has 3 exons. The record is from RefSeq and is a predicted model, not a curated record. Lineage: Eukaryota; Metazoa; Cnidaria; Anthozoa; Malacalcyonacea; Nephtheidae.
GCACAAAUGAAAUCUGAGCAGAAAAUUUGUGCUUUGGAGGAACAAGUUUUAAGGCUUCAAAACCAGUUGAUGGAGGCAGAUACUGAGCAUUCCAAGACAAUUAAUGUGUAUAGAUUACAUCUACUCAAUGCACUACAGGGAGUUAUAAGCAAGGAUGUUAAAAAAGCAUUGGAACUUAU